UGGGGAAUUUUUGUCAAUGGGGGAAACCCUGAACAAGCAACGCCGCGUGAAGGACGAAGACCUUCGGGUUGUAAACUUCUGUCGGAGGGGACGAAAGCGAUCGCGGUCAAUACCCGUGGUCGUUGACGGUACCCUACGAGGAAGCCCCGGCUAACUCCGUGCCAGCAGCCGCGGUAAUACGGGGGGGGCAAGCGUUGUUCGGAAUUACUGGGCGUAAAGGGCGCGCAGGCGGGCGGGACAGUCUCUCGUGAAAGCCCACGGCCUCAACCGUGGAACUGCGGGAGAUACUACUCGUCUUGAGUCCGGGAGAGGAGUGUGGAAUUCCCAGUGUAGCGGUGAAAUGCGUAGAUAUUGGGAGGAACACCGGUGGCGAAGGCGGCACUCUGGACCGGUACUGACGCUGAGGCGCGAAAGCUAGGGGAGCAAACGGGAUUAGAUACCCCGGUAGUCCUAGCCGUAAACGAUGAGCACUUGGUGUAGCGGGUAUCGACCCCCGCUGUGCCGAAGCUAACGCAUU
Molecule: ribosomal RNA, 517 nt
Filed under: uncultured Acidobacteriota bacterium
Lineage: Bacteria; Pseudomonadati; Acidobacteriota
Description: bacterial SSU rRNA
Rfam family: Bacterial small subunit ribosomal RNA
Source: RNAcentral